GACGAACGCUGGCGGCGUGCUUAACACAUGCAAGUCGAACGGUAAGGCCCUUCGGGGUACACGAGUGGCGAACGGGUGAGUAACACGUGAGUGAUCUGCCCUGCACUUCGGGAUAAGCCUGGGAAACUGGGUCUAAUACCGGAUAGGACCACUGCCUGCAUGGGUGGUGGCGGAAAGCUUUUGCGGUGUGGGAUGGGCCCGCGGCCUAUCAGCUUGUUGGUGGGGUGAUGGCCUACCAAGGCGACGAGGGGUAGCCGGCCUGAGGGGGUGACCGGCCAGACGGGGACUGAGAUACGGCCCAGACUCCUACGGGGGGCAGCAGUGGGGAAUAUUGCACAAUGGGCGCAAGCCUGAUGCAGCGACGCCGCGUGCGGGAUGACGGCCUUCGGGUUGUAAACCUCUUUCAGCACCGACGAAGCGCAAGUGACGGUAGGUGCAGAAGAAGGACCGGCCAACUACGUGCCAGCCGCCGCGGUAA
RNAcentral lists this ribosomal RNA (478 nucleotides) under uncultured bacterium. RNAcentral's name for it is "partial 16S ribosomal RNA". It matches the Rfam family "Bacterial small subunit ribosomal RNA", at positions 28 to 523 of the family's 1533-position model. The record is from RNAcentral.